CCCCAGCUGUCUCCCCCCCCCUCUCUCCCCUCAUCAGAACCUAGAAAAAAUAAGCAAACCUAAUACCACUGCCGAACACACACCCAGCGCACCCUGGGACCUCCCUCUGCAUCUCUCUCUCUCUACCCAUUUCGCUCCGCACCCCUGGGACCUCCCUCUGCAUCUCUCUCUCUCUCUCUCUCUCUCUCUCUCUCUCUACCCAUUUCGCUCCGCACCCCUGGAACCUCCCUUUGCAACUCUUCCGGUCUUCCCCCACAGAAAAAUGAAAAUCCGCACCCCCGGGAUUUUCUUGGUUUGCCAUUGCUUUCUGGGUUUGUUUAUAAGUUGUUCUGUUAUGCUGUAGCUCGGAAUCGGAGGUUGUCACCGGAAAAAAAAACCCAACGAAAUUGUUCUCCAGCUCGGCCCCAAUCGGAGGAAUCGGAGGUUGUCACCGUGAAAGGCACGCGCCAGGCAAAUAGCCCGGCUCCUUGGUCAGUCAAUUUUGGACUAGCCUAGAGACCAGCUUGGGCUGGGUGCCAGGCAAGUUGCUGGGCUGGAGUGAAUUAACAGGGUGCCAGCCUGGUUUUUUUACUGGGUGCUGGGCUAUUCCACCUCUGGUGGAACUGCUCUUAGAAACAGUAUAAGAUAUACGUGUCAGUUAUGUCGUUCAUUUUUAUAUUAAAUCAUUAAAUCAAAUAUUACGACACGUAUAUUUUGAUAUCUACGAAAGUGUCUCAAAUUUUAGACAAAUUGCUGUGCAAUUUUUGCAUAUCAGAUUCGAUUUUGAAAUGCGUUGUCUGUUUCUAUGUGUUAUUUUCAUCUGGGUUUUAUUAUUUAAUGGUUCUGAGUGGAAAAAUAUAUGAGAAAACAAAAAAUUAAAAAGGGGAAUCGGAGAGAAGCCAAAUGGGUUUUGAAAAAAGGACAAUAAGCCAAACAAUUGCAUGUGCAGCUGCUGCAAUUUGGCGCCGUUAAAGGGCUCAAUGAGUCUCUUUCACCGGACAAUCGGCACUUAUCUUGAAAAAUCCACGUAGUUAAAGUGAGUUCGUUAGCCUGUGACUAGAAUGUUACCUUUACCGCAAUCAAACACGAUUAUGUAGAUUCUAAAUUGUUCUUGUAUGCGUAUAAUUCAGUUGAUUAAAAACAUUUGCUUUUUAUCUGGGGUCUUGUAUUUAAGUUUUCAACCUUAAAUUUUAAUAUAGAUUGUCCUAUAUUCUAACCUGUGAAAAAAAUCAAAUAUUAUAUUCUAAUAUGCGUAAUAAAAAUGAUUAAAUUAAAAG
This 1256-nucleotide long non-coding RNA is filed under the name Malus domestica (apple). RNAcentral describes it as "long non-coding RNA (MDOM_LNC016075)". Lineage: Eukaryota; Viridiplantae; Streptophyta; Magnoliopsida; Rosales; Rosaceae. The record is from RNAcentral.